AGCAGCCGCGGUAAUUCCAGCUCCAAUAGCGUAUAUUAAAGUUGUUGCAGUUAAAAGGCUCGUAGUUGAAUUUCGGGGUCAGUAGGUUGGUCGUGCCACCGGUACGUACUGGUCUCACUGAUUCCUCCUUCCUGAUGAGCUGUAAUGCCAUUAAUUUGGUGUUGCAGGGAAUCUGGACUGUUACUUUGAAAAAUUAGAGUGUUUAAAGCAGGCUAACGCUUGAAUACAUUAGCAUGGAAUAAUGAAAUAGGACGUUCGAUCCUAUUUUGUUGGUUUCUAGGAUUGACGUAAUGAUUAAUAGGGAGUAGUUGGGGGCGAUUAGUAUUCAAUUGUCAGAGGUGAAAUUCUUGGAUUUAUUGAAGACUAACUACUGCGAAAGCUAUUUGCCAAGGAUGUUUUCAUUAAUCAAGAACGAAAGUUAGGGGAUCGAAGACGAUCAGAUACCGUCGUAGUCUUAACCAUAAACUAUGCCGACUAGGGAUCGGAUGAUGUUAAUUUUUUAAUGACUCAUUCGGACCG
RNAcentral lists this ribosomal RNA (519 nucleotides) under uncultured Glomus. RNAcentral's name for it is "SSU rRNA". It matches the Rfam family "Eukaryotic small subunit ribosomal RNA", at positions 569 to 1087 of the family's 1831-position model. Lineage: Eukaryota; Fungi; Glomeromycota; Glomeromycetes; Glomerales; Glomeraceae. The record is from RNAcentral.